UACGUAGGGUGCAAGCGUUGUCCGGAAUUAUUGGGCGUAAAGAGCUCGUAGGCGGUUCGUCGCGUCGGCUGUGAAAAUCCCGGAGCUCAACUCCGGGUCUGCAGUCGAUACGGGCGGACUUGAGUACUGCAGGGGAGACUGGAAUUCCUGGUGUAGCGGUGAAAUGCGCAGAUAUCAGGAGGAACACCGGUGGCGAAGGCAGGUCUCUGGGCAUUAACUGACGCUGAGGAGCGAAAGCAUGGGGAGCGAACAGG
RNAcentral lists this ribosomal RNA (254 nucleotides) under uncultured bacterium. RNAcentral describes it as "partial 16S ribosomal RNA". It matches the Rfam family "Bacterial small subunit ribosomal RNA", at positions 524 to 776 of the family's 1533-position model. The record is from RNAcentral.